RNAcentral lists this transfer RNA (85 nucleotides) under Oscillospiraceae bacterium. RNAcentral's name for it is "tRNA-Ser". It matches the Rfam family "tRNA". From Rfam's summary of the family: Transfer RNA (tRNA) molecules are approximately 80 nucleotides in length. Their secondary structure includes four short double-helical elements and three loops (D, anti-codon, and T loops). The record is from RNAcentral. Lineage: Bacteria; Bacillati; Bacillota; Clostridia; Eubacteriales; Oscillospiraceae.
GGAAGGUUCGCGUAAUGGUAGCGCAGCGGUCCCGAAAACCGCCGCGGGUAACCGCUUGCGGGUUCGAGCCCCGCACCUUCCGCCA